This 484-nucleotide ribosomal RNA is filed under the name uncultured bacterium. RNAcentral describes it as "partial 16S ribosomal RNA". It matches the Rfam family "Bacterial small subunit ribosomal RNA", at positions 30 to 507 of the family's 1533-position model. The record is from RNAcentral.
AUUGAACGCUGGCGGCAGGCCUAACACAUGCAAGUCGAGCGGAUGCAGGGAGCUUGCCCUUGCGUUCAGCGGCGGACGGGUGAGUAAUGCCUAGGAAUCUGCCUGGUAGUGGGGGAUAACGUCCGGAAACGGGCGCUAAUACCGCAUACGUCCUGAGGGAGAAAGUGGGGGAUCUUCGGACCUCACGCUCUCAGAUGAGCCUAGGUCGGAUUAGCUAGUUGGUGGGGUAAAGGCCUACCAAGGCGACGAUCCGUAACUGGCCUGAGAGGAUGAUCAGUCACACUGGAACUGAGACACGGUCCAGACUCCUACGGGAGGCAGCAGUGGGGAAUAUUGGACAAUGGGCGAAAGCCUGAUCCAGCCAUGCCGCGUGUGUGAAGAAGGUCUUCGGAUUGUAAAGCACUUUAAGUUGGGAGGAAGGGCAGUAAGUUAAUACCUUGCUGUGUUGACGUUACCAACAGAAUAAGCACCGGCUAACUUCGUG